GGCAUAGUAGCUCAGUUGGUAGAGCACGUGGCUCAUACCCGCGCGGUCACUGGUUCGAGUCCAGUCUAUGCCA
Non-coding RNA from Candidatus Melainabacteria bacterium, 73 nucleotides. The record is from Rfam. Lineage: Bacteria; Bacillati; Candidatus Melainabacteria.